CAUAUUAUGUAAAUGUAUAUUUUAUAAAACCUUUGACAUACAGCAAUUACUUUCAGAAAUCCACCUGGCUUUCUCUUGACUUGGGAAAAUGAUGUUCCAGGGUUCAGUAUGUCAUCAGCAACCUUCAGGACCCUGCAUGGUCCAGCUGCUAUGACAGUGAGAGCGUUCUGCU
RNAcentral lists this long non-coding RNA (172 nucleotides) under Mus spicilegus (steppe mouse). RNAcentral's name for it is "lncRNA (ENSMSIG00000023694.1)". The record is from RNAcentral. Lineage: Eukaryota; Metazoa; Chordata; Mammalia; Rodentia; Muridae.